RNAcentral lists this ribosomal RNA (506 nucleotides) under uncultured bacterium. Its description in RNAcentral is "partial 16S ribosomal RNA". It matches the Rfam family "Bacterial small subunit ribosomal RNA", at positions 29 to 523 of the family's 1533-position model. The record is from RNAcentral.
AGUGAACGCUGGCGGUAGGCCUAACACAUGCAAGUCGAACGGCAGCACAGGAGAGCUUGCUCUCUGGGUGGCGAGUGGCGGACGGGUGAGGAAUACAUCGGAAUCUACUUUUUCGUGGGGGAUAACGUAGGGAAACUUACGCUAAUAUCGCAUACAACCUACGGGUGAAAGCAGGGGAACUUCGGACCUUGCGCGAUUGAAUGAGCCGAUGUCGGAUUAGCUAGUGGGCGGGGUAAAGGCCCACCAAGGCGACGAUCCGUAGCUGGUCUGAGAGGAUGAUCAGCCACACUGGAACUGAGACAAGGUCCAGACUCCUACGGGAGGCAGCAGUGGGGAAUAUUGGACAAUGGGCGCAAGCCUGAUCCAGCCAUACCGCGUGGGUGAAGAAAGCCUUCGGGUUGUAAAGCCCUUUUGUUGGGAAAGAAAUCCAGCUGGUUAAUACCCGGUUGGGAUGACGGUACCCAAAGAAUAAGCACCGGCUAACUUCGUGCCAGCCGCCGCAGUAA